UUUUUUUUUUUUUUUUUUUUUUUAAUGGAACAACUUUUGCUUUUUUCCUGAUUACAGAAGUAAUUCCGGGUAAUUCGGGUAGCUCCCUGGUGGUGUAGUGGUUAGGACAGGGCGCUUUCACUGCUGCAGCCCAGGUUCAGUCCCUGGGCUGGGAACCAAGAUCCCAUAUCAUACCCCUGCACCUUUCGGCAAAACAAAAACAAAAACAGAUAUUGGUUUUAGGGGAAAAGUUCAUAUCAUCUUCCAAAAUAAAACCCAGCUGAAUUAAAGAUCUGAGCUGGGGCCUCUGCAGGGUAAGGAUUUACCAGGAAAAAGGAGAAAGCGCUUUCUAGGCUCCCAGGACCAAGGAGCCACCAGCGCCUCUCAGGAAAGGGAUUGAGUGGGUGGACCUGUUUGCUGGCAAGUCCCAACGCGCAGCAGGAAGGCUGUCCUGGGCGGGCAGGCCAGUGAGAAGGCAGUUGCAGGGAGAGGUGACAGCCUGGCCCAGAGGAGCAGGGGAGGCUGGGAGAAGUGGGUGUGUAGCUAUGGACUCUCCUGCCUGUAGAUGCGGGUAAAGCUGUCUUGUGAAAAGGAGACUGAGCUCACAGCUUCCCCCCAAAUCCCCUGGGAGGGGUAGAGGGGUCCAGGCUGCCUCCCACCCCCUUCUCACCAGGGCUUCUGAUUUGAGCCAUGGACUUGGGGGACCCAUCCACCCAGAUGGGUAGGCGAGACAGUGGGCAGAGAGGAGGAGUUUUGGGGUGCUUUGGGGCUCAAAAGCUGAGACAUUCAUAAACAGUUGGAUUCUAGGGUCUGAACCUCCAUCCUGGGAUCUGGCCCAGAAGUACAGCGUCAAGAGACAUCAGAACAGAGACCUGGAGUUCCCAUCCUGGCGCAGUGGAAACAAAUCCAACUAGGAACCAUGAGGAACUCCUAGCCCCUGUUUCUUGAGGGACUAACUAGACCCAGUUUCAGGCAGGAGCGAGGGGAUGUCGAAGCCCCUGCCACCUCUUUCCCCGUGGCCUCUCCAGGCCACCACACAGGUCUCGGUUUCCUCUGAGCCCGCUUGGAGCUCAGAGCUGUGGCGGGGGGGGACCCCUGACUUGUCCUGCAAGGGACCAGUGGGGACCGUCAAUGGCUUCCACACUGGGGGCUCGAAAGGGUCGGGGAGGGCACAGGGUGACCUGGGGAGGACCAGACCAGGGAGCUUCCGGGGGCACUCUGUCCCUGAACCAUGCCUGGGCCGGAACUGAGGAGCUCCAUGUGGGGAAGACUGAGAGGGGGCUUUUCAGGGGGAUGCAGUGACUCUGAGGCCAGCCUGAGGGUCUGUCAGCUGAAGGAGAGGGGACGACCUCUGCCACGUGACUAGGAUGUCCCCCCCCACUGUGGGGUUCUGUAUCCUAAGGAGAGGUGAGGGUGCAAGAGGCGGGGCCCUGGGGCAUUUGGGCCCUUGUGGGUGCCCCGUGCCAGCCAUCACCAUUGGUGGGUGAGCGCCCCCUCUACCCUGCCUGCAUCAUUGGGGGACUGGCUGAGGUUGGGGAAGAUUUCCCAGCUUCCUGCCCCGCCCAGUGGGCUCCAGGGUUUGGGACCCGGCCACUUCCCUUUUCAUGGAAAAGUACAAAACGCAGGUCUCGUGACUAUGGGCCAUGUGCUUAAUCUCACCCAGGGAAACAACGCUGAGAUUCCGAGCAAGGGAUCAGGCACCUCGAGGCGGGGACAAGCCCGAGACGAGCCCUCCUGCCUGUCUUCAUGGCAGAAGCACCUCCCAGGAGAGCCCCCAGCACGUGGCUGGCUGCCUCCUGCCCCAGCCCCCUGGUCUGAGUCUUGGCUCCACCACACACAGCUACACAAGGAGCUCAUCGGGGGGCCGGGCCAGGGGCAGCACCACGGGUGGCCCUAGCCCUUGGCAAGCUCUCAUUUUCAGGGACAUCCUGAUAGACAGGCAUUUCCUCUCCUGCUUUGGCAGUGAAAGUGGUGCAAUUUUCUCUUCCCUGUUUCUUGCCCAAUCAGACCAGGCUUCCAGAGGACGUGGCAGGUGGCCCGAGGUGGGGAGAGAGGCUGCGUCUGGACCAACCCAAGACGUGUCUCGGGGACCCACCCCCAGAGCGACUGCAUGAGGCCACGGCCCUGGAGGAGUGGGGGCCAGAGGCACUCUGACCUGGACCCCGACUGCUAGGUCCCUGGCACACAUCAUAGGUCCUUAGAGGCGUUCUGAGGUUACCCUUUCCAUACCCCUGGCUCCAUGAGGAGCAGCCCAACCCCAAAGCUUUUCCCAAAGGAAAAACCUAUUGCUGCUGCGUCUCCUCCAGCAGCCGGUGGACCUUCGCUGCAUGGAGAGUCCUAGUUCCAUCCCCCGAAACCCUCCUAGUCCCGGGGCCCGGAGACAGGACCGCAGGCAGAAAGUCACCUCUGGAGGUCACCAGGAUGCACACCCAGUUCUAGAGGCAGAAGUCUCCGACGAGCCAGGAGGCAGCUCUGCUUUGUGCCGAGGAGCUUGGCUCCGUGGAAAUCCCAGCCCUGGGAGGCCGCGGGCUGCUUCUCCUUUUAAGGCAACAUCUGAGCUCUCAGCUGCCUGCGCUGCGAGGCCCCAGCCCCACUCAUUCCU
Molecule: long non-coding RNA, 2581 nt
Filed under: Sus scrofa (pig)
Lineage: Eukaryota; Metazoa; Chordata; Mammalia; Artiodactyla; Suidae
Description: lncRNA (ENSSSCG00005037747.1)
Source: RNAcentral